UCAAGUGAAUAAGCGCACAUGGCGGAUGCCUUGGCAACUGGAGGCGAUGAAGGGCGUAGUAACCUGCGAAAAGCACGGGGGAGCUGGUAAACGAGCAUUAAUCCCGUGAUGCCCGAAUGGGGAAACCCACCUAAUUUAUUAGGUAUCGUGCACUGAAUACAUAGGUGUACGAAGCGAACGAGGGGAACUGAAACAUCUAAGUACCCUCAGGAAAAGAAAUCAAACGAGAUUCCCUCAGUAGCGGCGAGCGAAAGGGGAUCAGCCGAACAAUUUGAAUGUAGUGGAAGAGUCUGGAAAGGCUCGCGAUACAGGGUGAUAGCCCCGUACACGAAACGCUCAAGUUGACGCAUUAAGUAGGUCGGGACACGUGUUAUCUUGACUGAAGAUGGGGGGACCAUCCUCCAAGGCUAAAUACUCCCAGUUGACCGAUAGUGAACAAGUACCGUGAGGGAAAGGCGAAAAGAACCCCGGUGAGGGGAGUGAAAUAGAACCUGAAACCGUGUGCGUACAAGCAGUAGGAGCUCCUUCGUGGAGUGACUGCGUACCUUUUGUAUAAUGGGUCAGCGACUUACUGUCAGUGGCAAGGUUAACCGAAUAGGGGAGCCGUAGAGAAAUCGAGUCUUAAUAGGGCGCAUAGUCGCUGGCAGUAGACCCGAAACCGAGCGAUCUAUCCAUGGGCAGGUUGAAGGUGCCGUAACAGGCACUGGAGGACCGAACCGUAAUCUGUUGAAAAAGAUUCGGAUGACCUGUGGAUCGGAGUGAAAGGCUAAUCAAGCUCGGAGAUAGCUGGUUCUCCCCGAAAGCUAUUUAGGUAGCGCGUCAUAUCUCACCCUCGGGGGUAGAGCACUGUUUGGGCUAGGGGGUCAUCCCGACUUACCAACCCCAUGCAAACUCCGAAUACCCAGGAGUACAAUCGCGGGAGACACACGGCGGGUGCUAACGUCCGUCGUGAAAAGGGAAACAACCCAGACCGCCAGCUAAGGUCCCUAAUACCAGUUAAGUGGGAAACGAUGUGGGAAGGCUUAGACAGCUAGGAGGUUGGCUUAGAAGCAGCCAUCCUUUAAAGAAAGCGUAAUAGCUCACUAGUCGAGUCGUCCUGCGCGGAAGAUGUAACGGGGCUCAAACUGUGCACCGAAGCUGCGGAUAUCGAAAGAUAUGGUAGGGGAGCGUUCUGUAGGUCUGUGAAGGUGUCUUGUAAAGGAUGCUGGAGAUAUCAGAAGUGCGAAUGCUGACAUGAGUAGCGAUAAAGGGAGUGAAAAGCUCCCUCGCCGAAAGCCCAAGGUUUCCUACGCAACGUUCAUCGGCGUAGGGUGAGUCGGCCCCUAAGGCGAGGCAGAAAUGCGUAGUCGAUGGGAAACAGGUUAAAAUUCCUGUACCGAUUGUGAGUGCGAUGGGGGGACGGAGAAGGGUAGCUCAGCCAACUGUUGGAAUAGUUGGUUCAAGCGUGUAGGCAGGUCCAUCAGGCAAAUCCGGUGGGCCAAUGCUGAGGCGUGAUAACGAGGUGCUACGGCACUGAAGUGAGUAAUCCCAUGCUUCCAGGAAAAGCCUCUAAGCUUCAGCUCACAAUUGACCGUACCGCAAACCGACACAGGUGGGUAGGAUGAGAAUUCUAAGGCGCUUGAGAGAACUCGGGUUAAGGAACUCGGCAAAUUGACACCGUAACUUCGGGAGAAGGUGUGCCCCGGUAGGGUGAAGGACCUCGCGUCCGGAGCUCGAUGGGGUUGCAGUGAAAAGGUGGCUGCGACUGUUUAAUAAAAACACAGCACUGUGCCAACACGAAAGUGGACGUAUACGGUGUGACGCCUGCCCGGUGCUGGAAGAUUAAAUGAUGGGGUGCAAGCUCUUGACUGAAGUCCCAGUAAACGGCGGCCGUAACUAUAACGGUCCUAAGGUAGCGAAAUUCCUUGUCGGGUAAGUUCCGACCCGCACGAAUGGCGUAACGAUGGCCACACUGUCUCAACCCGAGACUCAGCGAAGUUGAAAUGUUUGUGAAGAUGCAAUCUCCCCGCUGCUAGACGGAAAGACCCCGUGAACCUUUACUGUAGCUUUGCAUUGGACUUUGAACAGACUUGUGUAGGAUAGGUGGGAGGCUUUGAAGCAGAGACGCCAGUUUCUGUGGAGCCGCCCUUGAAAUACCACCCUGGUGUGUUUGAGGUUCUAACCUUGGUCCGUCAUCCGGAUCGGGGACCGUGCAUGGUAGGCAGUUUGACUGGGGCGGUCUCCUCCCAAAGUGUAACGGAGGAGUUCGAAGGUUACCUAGGUACGGUCGGACAUCGUACUGAUAGUGCAAUGGCAAAAGGUAGCUUAACUGCGAGACCCACAAGUCGAGCAGGUGCGAAAGCAGGACAUAGUGAUCCGGUGGUUCUGAAUGGAAGGGCCAUCGCUCAACGGAUAAAAGGUACUCCGGGGAUAACAGGCUGAUUCCGCCCAAGAGUUCAUAUCGACGGCGGAGUUUGGCACCUCGAUGUCGGCUCAUCACAUCCUGGGGCUGUAGCCGGUCCCAAGGGUAUGGCUGUUCGCCAUUUAAAGUGGUACGUGAGCUGGGUUUAAAACGUCGUGAGACAGUUUGGUCCCUAUCUGCAGUGGGCGUUGGAAGUUUGAAGGGGGCUGCUCCUAGUACGAGAGGACCGGAGUGGACGAACCUCUGGUGUACCGGUUAUGACGCCAGUCGUAUCGCCGGGUAGCUAAGUUCGGAAGAGAUAAGCGCUGAAAGCAUCUAAGCGCGAAACUCGCCUUAAGAUGAGACUUCCCUGGCACCUAGAGUGCCCUGAAGGGUCGUUCGAGACCAGGACGUUGAUAGGUUGGGUGUGGAAGCGCAGUAAUGCGUUAAGCUAACCAAUACUAAUUGCCCGUGCGGCUUGAUCCU
RNAcentral lists this ribosomal RNA (2866 nucleotides) under wastewater metagenome. RNAcentral's name for it is "bacterial LSU rRNA". It matches the Rfam family "Bacterial large subunit ribosomal RNA". The record is from RNAcentral.